This 490-nucleotide ribosomal RNA is filed under the name uncultured bacterium. Its description in RNAcentral is "bacterial SSU rRNA". It matches the Rfam family "Bacterial small subunit ribosomal RNA", at positions 28 to 507 of the family's 1533-position model. The record is from RNAcentral.
GAUGAACGCUAGCGGCAGGCUUAACACAUGCAAGUCGAGGGGCAGCAUGACGGAACCUCGGGUUUUGUCGAUGGCGACCGGUGCAAGGGUGCGUAACGCGUGAGCAACUUGCCCGUUUCAGGGGGAUAACCGGUGGAAACGCCGACUAAUACCCCAUAGCAUCAUAUUCAGGCAUCUUUAUAUGAUUAAAGAAUUUCGGAAACGGAUAGGCUCGCGUGACAUUAGCUAGAUGGCGGGGUAACGGCCCACCAUGGCGACGAUGUCUAGGGGUUCUGAGAGGAAGGUCCCCCACACUGGUACUGAGACACGGACCAGACUCCUACGGGAGGCAGCAGUGAGGAAUAUUGGUCAAUGGCCGGAAGGCUGAACCAGCCAAGUAGCGUGAAGGAUGAAGGUUCUAUGGAUUGUAAACUUCUUUUAUACGGGAAUAAAACCACCUACGUGUAGGUGCUUGUAUGUACCGUAUGAAUAAGCAUCGGCUAACUCCGUG